AGUGAACGCUGGCGGUAGGCCUUACACAUGCAAGUCGAACGGCAGCACAGUAAGAGCUUGCUCUUACGGGUGGCGAGUGGCAGGGGGGUGAGGUAUACAUCGGAAUCUACUUUUUCGUGGGGGAUCACGUAGGGAAACUUACGCUAAUACCGCAUACGACCUACGGGUGAAAGCAGGGGCUCUUCGGACCUUGCGCGAUUGAAUGAGCCGAUGUCGGAUUAGCUAGUUGGCGGGGUAAAGGCCCACCAAGGCGACGAUCCGUAGCUGGUCUGAGAGGAUGAUCAGCCACACUGGAACUGAGACACGGUCCAGACUCCUACGGGAGGCAGCAGUGGGGAAUUUUGGACAAUGGGCGCAAGCCUGAUCCAGCCAUGCCGCGUGGGUGAAGAAGGCCUUCGGGUUGUAAAGCACUUUUGUUGGGAAAGAAAAGCAGCAGGUUAAUACCCAGCUGUGCUGACGGUACCCAAAGAAUAAGCACCGGCUAACUUCGUG
RNAcentral lists this ribosomal RNA (492 nucleotides) under uncultured bacterium. Its description in RNAcentral is "partial 16S ribosomal RNA". It matches the Rfam family "Bacterial small subunit ribosomal RNA", at positions 29 to 507 of the family's 1533-position model. The record is from RNAcentral.